This 388-nucleotide ribosomal RNA is filed under the name uncultured bacterium. RNAcentral's name for it is "bacterial SSU rRNA". It matches the Rfam family "Bacterial small subunit ribosomal RNA", at positions 28 to 420 of the family's 1533-position model. The record is from RNAcentral.
GACGAACGCUGGCGGCGUGCUUAACACAUGCAAGUCGAGCGGUAAGGCCCUUCGGGGUACACGAGCGGCGAACGGGUGAGUAACACGUGGGUGACCUGCCUCUAGCUCUGGGAUAAGCCUGGGAAACUGGGUCUAAUACCGGAUAUGACUCCACGGCGCAUGUUGUGGGGUGGAAAGCCUUGUGUGGCUAGAGAUGGGCCCGCGGCCUAUCAGCUUGUUGGUGGGGUGAUGGCCACCAAGGCGACGACGGGUAGCCGGCCUGAGAGGGCGACCGGCCACACUGGGACUGAGACACGGCCCAGACUCCUACGGGAGGCAGCAGUGGGGAAUCUUGCGCAAUGGGCGAAAGCCUGACGCAGCGACGCCGCGUGAGGGAUGACGGCCUCGG